Molecule: ribosomal RNA, 506 nt
Filed under: uncultured bacterium
Lineage: Bacteria
Description: partial 16S ribosomal RNA
Rfam family: Bacterial small subunit ribosomal RNA
Source: RNAcentral
AUUGAACGCUGGCGGCAGGCCUAACACAUGCAAGUCGGACGGUAGCACAGAGGAGCUUGCUCCUCGGGUGACGAGUAGCGGACGGGUGAGUAAUGUCUGGGGAUCUGCCCGAUAGAGGGGGAUAACCACUGGAAACGGUGGCUAAUACCGCAUAACGUCGCAAGACCAAAGAGGGGGACCUUCGGGCCUCUCACUAUCGGAUGAACCCAGAUGGGAUUAGCUAGUAGGCGGGGUAACGGCCCACCUAGGCGACGAUCCCUAGCUGGUCUGAGAGGAUGACCAGCCACACUGGAAAUGAGACACGGUGCAGACUCCUACGGGAGGCAGCAGUGGGGAAUAUUGCACAAGGGGAGCAAGCGUGAUGCAGCCAUGCCGCGUGUAUGAAGAAGGCCUUCGGGUUGUAAAGUACUUUCAGCGGGGAGGAAGGCGAUGUGGUUAAUAACCGCGUCGAUUGACGUUACCCGCAGAAGAAGCACCGGCUAACUCCGUGCCAGCAGCCGCGGUAA